UUAUACCGCGAAACUGCGAAUGGCUCAUUAAAUCAGUUAUCGUCUAUUUGAUAGUACCUUACUACUUGGAUAACCGUGGUAAUUCUAGAGCUAAUACAUGCUGAAAAUCCCGACUUCGGAAGGGUUGUAUUUAUUAGAUUAAAAACCAAUGCCCUUCGGGGCUCACUGGUGAUUCAUAAUAACUUCUCGAAUCGCACGGCCUUGCGCCGGCGAUGGCUCAUUCAAAUUUCUGCCCUAUCAACUUUCGACGGCUUGGUCUUGGCCAGCCGUGGUGACAACGGGUAACGGAGGGUUAGGGCUCGGCCCCGGAGAAGGAGCCUGAGAAACGGCUACUACAUCCAAGGAAGGCAGCAGGCGCNCAAAUUACCCAAUCCCGAUACGGGGAGGUAGUGACAAUAAAUACUGAUACAGGGCUCUUUUGGGUCUUGUAAUUGGAAUGAAGACAAUUUAAUUCCCUUAACGAGGAACAAUUGGAGGGCAAGUCUGGUGCCAGCAGCCGCGGUAAUUCCAGCUCCAAUAGCGUAUAUUAAAGUUGUUGCAGUUAAAAAGCUCGUAGUUGAACCUUGGGCCUGGCUGGCCGGUCCGCCUCACCGCGUGCACUGGUCCGGCCGGGCCUUUCCCUCUGGGGAACCGCAUGCCCUUCACUGGGCGUGUCGGGGAACCAGGACUUUUACUUUGAAAAAAUUAGAGUGUUCAAAGCAGGCUUAUGCUCGGAUACAUUAGCAUGGAAUAAUAGAAUAGGACGUGCGGUUCUAUUUUGUUGGUUUCUAGGACCGCCGUAAUGAUUAAUAGGGACAGUCGGGGGCAUCAGUAUUCAAUUGUCAGAGGUGAAA
This 833-nucleotide ribosomal RNA is filed under the name Grosmannia fruticeta. RNAcentral describes it as "SSU rRNA". It matches the Rfam family "Eukaryotic small subunit ribosomal RNA", at positions 74 to 916 of the family's 1831-position model. Lineage: Eukaryota; Fungi; Ascomycota; Sordariomycetes; Ophiostomatales; Ophiostomataceae. The record is from RNAcentral.